CAGCCGAGGUGCGGGCGGCCGGCCGGGCCGAGCGAAUUUCCAUUAUGAGACGGAGGGGAUGGUACAGAAGUGGAAGCCCAGCCACCCACUCACCACGGACUCACUGUUAACAAAGAGCAGCACAGCUGCUCCUGGAGAACUGGAACCAGCCAGCUAUGCACCCAUGACUUCAUUUCUUUCCUGCUAAUGAAGAGAGAGCAACCCCGAUUUGGUGAAAAUUAGAAUCGCAGCGCAUACUGCAGCACCUCUUGAAGCAGAUUUGCCAGAGCUGCAUUGCAUCCUCUCCUUUUUAGACAAGUUCAAAAUGGGCUUUCAUCCCCGAAGGAGAUUUUUUGGUUACUGCUGGCUACACAGAGGGGAAAAAAUUGUUAAACUUGUAUGAGUCGUGACCCUGAGAAUAAGCGACUCCCUGCCCAUCAUGUGAGAGCAGCAGAAGGCCGGGUAGGCCGUGCCUUGCAUAUGCUUGCCUGAGCUCUGCGAUGCUAAGCAUCCUUAUCACACUUUUAAAACUUACGGAUGGACAGAGCAGUGGAAAACAGCAGUGUGCAAGGAGCCAUUUCACACCGAGGGGUUUGAAAAACGUGCCCGGAUCUUUUUUGCAAAUACGUGUAAAAUUGACACUCCCCCCAGAUCAGCAGCCAUUUACACAAAGGUCUGGCCCUUAAAAUCAGUGACAUUUAUGUAGCGAUUGGAUUCUCCAUCCCUUUGGAGGAGCAGCGCUGCAGCGCUACAGGUCAGUACGUGUGGGUGGCACAGCAGUGCUCGUGGCAGCCCACAUCUGAGACCGACGCAGAGCAAAUCAUUUGCCCAUAGAGCAUAAGAAACGUCACAGGCCAUUUGAAAAAUGCAGAGAGAAAAGAAGGGAGAACAACAGCAAUAAGGGACUGUUUGACAAAAACCUAUUCAUGUGCGCAACCCAUUACCUCACCACAUACCUAAGCCGGAGCCACCGGGUUUUGCUUUUGUCUUAAGAAGAGAUCUGAGGGAAAUUUUCGGGAUGCCUUUCCUAUGUGUUCGAAGCAAAACUGCGAGACAAAUAUGCCUCUAAACGAGAGAUAAACCACUUAAUGCUGCAACUCCAACUUUAGAAAUCAUGAAAUCUUGAAUCGGUGCCUCAGCAGAAAAGGAAAGACUCAGAUUUGCAGAUGGCAAGUCGCUCGCUGCGAGCUGAAAGGGUCUAUACUAUAAUGGUAAAAAACAUGACUAUACACACAGUCUUCCUCUGUCCAUCUGCCACGGUUAUAGUCUAGUGUGGGGGUGAUUUUACUUAAAUUGGGACUGUUUGCAGGCUGAGUUCUCAUUUCUGCAAUCAGUAGGCUUGUUACGAAAAGAGUAAAUAGGUUUUAAACAACAACAACUGCUGUCUUGGUGCUGUGUGACGAAAUCAUUGCAAUAGGCUCCCACUGAAGAAAUCUACAUACGUCUGCUGCUGGUCUGCAUGGAAUCUCAUCCUGCAACUGUGAGUGUACAUCUAUGAAUGGAGGACUUGGGAACCUUCACGAUGCUUGCAAGUUGCAGAAGAGUGGUAACAACCAGAAAGACCAAUAAUGAAAUAGGAGAAAUAAAUUAAUAAUAGGGAAUGAGUAAUGAAAAUGGAUAGAUAUUAAUAUUUAAAGGCCAUGCGAAGAGUCAUCUUGUUUUACUCACUUCUUAUUCACCUUCAUCCAGGCAAGCUGAAUACGAGCUUGCCACGGUUUCCCCCACGCCCACUUUGCAAGAAAAAAUGUCAAUGGGCAGAAGUGUGUGUUUAUCAAGGUACAGAAGCACUGAAAACUCAUCAUGAACCAUGACUAUAAACUCCAAAUCAUUCACUUUUCCCCUUACUUGAGACUCACCAAGAAGAAGACAUACAGACAGAGAGCUGGUUUUGCAGAGGGACUUGCAUGCGUCUGGAAGGAGCUCUUGUGCCUCCUGCCAUCACCUUCCCCCUUCACGUCCCACGUCCUGCGUUGUGACACUGCUCCCGGGAGCUGUGCUCCUUACCAGCUGAUCUCACAUCUCCGGGUUGGUCCUGCACGCCUUCCCCAUGCCUUUGGGCUCGCAGUGGCAUUGACACACCAAGGAGAUGUCCCUGCUGCUCUGCGGGUCCCUGCGCCAUGCCCCCUUCCCAGAGGCGAGCUAGCGGCAGCAGGGAACAGAAGCAGCUGGCAGAAGAGGCAGCUCUGCCAGGCUGUCGGCGAAGGAAUUAAACAGAUCACAACAAAUAAGGGAAAUUGCCUCCUUAAUAUUUUACAUUUUCAAAACGGCCUGUGGUGUUACAGAAUGCACACAGUGGUUUUAGGGCCUGCGGGCCGCAAGCUCAGAGGCUCUGAAAAAUUGAUAAUCUGGAGGCAGACUUUUAAAGGGUUCACUUUAAAGCUUAUUCUGUGAAAAUCAGAAGAUAUCAAAUAGAAUUAUUAGCUAAUAUGGAUUCCUCUCUCUUUUGCUUUGUAGAAAACAAGAUGUGUGCAAACUGGAAACUCGAGCUUAUCUGGGCAAUAAACAAUUUCGAUCCAUGCUUUCUGUGCACCGAAGAAGCAAAAAAUAGGCAACUACCACGAAGGCUUAAUUCUGCUUUUCAUCGCACUAUAACUGCAUUGGUGAAGGGGGAAGAGAGCCUGGCUUAUCGUUUGCCAGCACCCUGCAAGGCAUACUUCUGGCUGUAUGUCACCUGCCCAGCCUAAACACGAACAAGGCCUAGAAGCAUAUAUGUAUAGAUGGAUGGCCCAUCACAUAUAUACAUAUCUAUAUCCAUCCUUUCUCCUUUAGAAUUUAGUAGUGACUUUGAUUUUGUCAUAGUUCAACACUUUGCCUCUAUCAAAAUGUUAUUGAUAUAAUGCAAUCCUGUUGUUCUGAAGUCACUGAAAAUGGUGCUCAGAAGGACUGGAAAGAAUUAUUUGCUGUAUACCUGCACAUAAACAUCACUGUAUUUCUUUAAUUGAAGAAAAUGAAUAGGUAUGUGAUAGUAUGUUGCAUGGUUCUAAAGACAGAAUCUUAGCCUAAAACUCACUGAAAAAAAAAUAAAUGGGUUUUAAGCUAUGCAGGAGUUAAACGACCUAGCACCUUGGUCACUUUUUUCUGUGUCGGGUGAGUACAGGAUACAGGGAUUCUGACAAGGAGACCUUUCACAUUCACUUCUACCAGUAUUAUCCCAAGGCUGGGGAGGAUGAAGAGCAAGGCUCAUACUUAUAAUCCGGAAUGCUGUAAAAUCUCUCUCUUCAGCUUUUCAGCUAAACUGAGAUAUUUAUCUUAACGAGAACUAAUUAGACCUAAUUUCGAUGGCAUAUCAGUUAUUUUCUUCAUUAGAGUAGCUAAUGCCAUGUUCAGAUAUCAUGGUAAUCAAGUUUGUGAUUUCUGGAAAAACUGGUUAGAAGGCUUAGUAUUAAGUGUAUUUCCAACUGUGAAAUUUAUCCUUCUGAGCAAUGCCUCCCAGUUUACUCACUUUGUUCCAGGAUUCUCCACAGCAUAUGGCCACUGGAACCCAUUAAAUAACAAGAAGUAAGACAAAGUCAGCGAUGAGUCAAAAAUAGCUGCACUAGUGAACUGCCUUUCUAAUUUCUGUCUUUAACAAGAAAAAUAAUGAAGAAUAAGACAUGCAAUUAGAAGAAAUUAAGGUCAAUUUUCAAGCCGGGUUCCUUACAUGGUGGUUUCCAAAUCCACAUUGGGCACCUCGAAUAAAAGCGGUCUGAUUGAACACCUGCAGCUCUUGGCAGUGCUCUCAGGCAUAUAAGGCAGCCAGGCAAUUCUUGCACACAAAGUCCCCGCUUCUCAUUUUUAUUUUCUCAAUUACCUAAACUCCUAAAACUCCAGGCCCUAAUCACUAGGUUGGCGUGUUCCUUUCUCCUCCUAAGGAAGACACCCAGUGCUUGGCCAUGUGUGUGCCAUAUAGGUGUUGGAUAAGUCCCACGUGCUUAGCAUGGGAGUGAAGGCGCUGUUUUAGUAAAGGAGCCUGGUACAACCAGCAUAUUUUGGCAAAACCCUCCCCUCUGCUUUUUAGCACUGCAGACUUCCCUAGACACGGAGGUGGGAUUCCUCUCAUUCAGCCCGAGUCAUCUAAAGCCAGGAGUGUGCUCUGUGUUUUUUCUAGGCUAAUUUUACAGUCAACAGAGAUGGGCUGGUGUCUCUGAACGGAGAUUCAUCUUACCCCAGGACAGCUGCCUCAGACAUGGAGAUGGUUUGUUCAUUAGAGGCGCCCAGCUCCCUCGCAGGAGGCUGGUUCAGACCAAGCGCCUUCCUCCUGGAGACCUACAAGAGGUUACUCUUGUAUCCAACUCCCUUCAUUUGCAAGUAAGAAGAUGCUUCAUCUGAACAUCAAAAAAGCAUAUUAACAAAAUAUCUGAGGAAAUAUAUUGUUAUGCUCUUCUGACCUGUGUCAUGAACAAUAAAAUGUUAUCUAGUUUCCACAGACUACAUGUACUGUGAUUACUUUGGCCCCUAUAAAGUCCCCUUAUACCAAAG
Molecule: long non-coding RNA, 4437 nt
Filed under: Gallus gallus (chicken)
Lineage: Eukaryota; Metazoa; Chordata; Aves; Galliformes; Phasianidae
Source: RNAcentral